CAGUAGCCGCGGGAAUACGAAGGGGGCUAGCGUUGUUCGGAUUUACUGGGCGUAAAGCGCACGUAGGCGGAUCGAUCAGUCAGGGGUGAAAUCCCAGAGCUCAACCUGGGAAUGGCAGUGGAUACUGGCUCGCUAGAGUGUGUCAGAGGAUGGUGGAAUUCCCGGUGUAGCGGUGAAAUGCGUAGAGAUCGGGAGGAACAUCAGUGGCGAAGGCAGCCAUCUGGGACAACACUGACGCUGAGGCACGAAAGCGUGGGGAGCAAACAGGAUUAGAUACCCCAGUAGUCCCUGUCUCUUAUAC
Molecule: ribosomal RNA, 301 nt
Filed under: uncultured bacterium
Lineage: Bacteria
Description: partial 16S ribosomal RNA
Rfam family: Bacterial small subunit ribosomal RNA
Source: RNAcentral